This 519-nucleotide ribosomal RNA is filed under the name Triticum aestivum (bread wheat). Its description in RNAcentral is "partial small subunit ribosomal RNA". Lineage: Eukaryota; Viridiplantae; Streptophyta; Magnoliopsida; Poales; Poaceae. The record is from RNAcentral.
AUGAUGAUCUGGAAAGCUAAUGUUCCUCAGAGAAUCCAGAUCUUUCUCUGGUUGCUUGUGAGAAACAAGCUACUUACCAGAGACAAUCUUUUGAAAAGACAACAUGUAGCUGAUACUACCUGUCUGUUCUGUAAUGAAGCGGAAUCGGUUAAUCAUCUUUUUUUUGAUUGUGUGGUUGCGAGAGAACUCUGGGGAGAGAUUUUUAGCCCCAUAGGGAGCAACAUCGAGCUUAUCUCGCAUGGGCUUCUGAAUUGGUGGGCUAGAAAUGACAACAAAACAGCAGAUAUUAUGCUUCAUGCAGCUGCAUUAUGGACUCUCUGGAGAUAUCGUAACGAUAUUUGCUUUAGUGUUGUGCCUUGGCUUGGGAUGCAGGUUAUGUGGCAAAAGGCAGCUUCCUUUUUAACCUUGUGGGAGAUCAGGUGCGCGGAUUCCGCCAAGAGGAGAUGUCGUCUCCUGGUGCAAAGGAUGGAACAUUUGGCGCGAGCACCGCCUCUCCUCCUUUGGCCAGACCCUGGCUAG